GAAUUGAGGUUUCAGAUGGCUACUGAAGAAGAAUUGCAAAUUCUUUAUAUAGGGUUCAAUUCCCUCUCAAUUCU
RNAcentral lists this transfer RNA (74 nucleotides) under Malassezia globosa. Its description in RNAcentral is "tRNA-Cys". It matches the Rfam family "tRNA". From Rfam's summary of the family: Transfer RNA (tRNA) molecules are approximately 80 nucleotides in length. Lineage: Eukaryota; Fungi; Basidiomycota; Malasseziomycetes; Malasseziales; Malasseziaceae. The record is from RNAcentral.